AGAGUUUGAUCCUGGCUCAGAUUGAACGCUGGCGGCAGGCUUAACACAUGCAAGUCGAGCGGAGAUGAGGUGCUCGCACCUUAUCUUAGCGGCGGACGGGUGAGUAAUGCUUAGGAAUCUGCCUAUUAGUGGGGGACAACAUUCCGAAAGGAAUGCUAAUACCGCAUACGUCCUACGGGAGAAAGCAGGGGAUCUUCGGACCUUGCGCUAAUAGAUGAGCCUAAGUCGGAUUAGCUAGUUGGUGGGGUAAAGGCCCACCAAGGCGACGAUCUGUAGCGGGUCUGAGAGGAUGAUCCGCCACACUGGGACUGAGACACGGCCCAGACUCCUACGGGAGGCAGCAGUGGGGAAUAUUGGACAAUGGGGGGAACCCUGAUCCAGCCAUGCCGCGUGUGUGAAGAAGGCCUUAUGGUUGUAAAGCACUUUAAGCGAGGAGGAGGCUACUGAGACUAAUACUCUUGGAUAGUGGACGUUACUCGCAGAAUAAGCACCGGCUAACUCUGUGCCAGCAGCCGCGGUAAUACAGAGGGUGCGAGCGUUAAUCGGAUUUACUGGGCGUAAAGCGUGCGUAGGCGGCUUUUUAAGUCGGAUGUGAAAUCCCCGAGCUUAACUUGGGAAUUGCAUUCGAUACUGGGAAGCUAGAGUAUGGGAGAGGAUGGUAGAAUUCCAGGUGUAGCGGUGAAAUGCGUAGAGAUCUGGAGGAAUACCGAUGGCGAAGGCAGCCAUC
This 727-nucleotide ribosomal RNA is filed under the name uncultured Gammaproteobacteria bacterium. RNAcentral describes it as "bacterial SSU rRNA". It matches the Rfam family "Bacterial small subunit ribosomal RNA", at positions 8 to 729 of the family's 1533-position model. Lineage: Bacteria; Pseudomonadati; Pseudomonadota; Gammaproteobacteria. The record is from RNAcentral.